RNAcentral lists this transfer RNA (35 nucleotides) under Odontoschisma macounii. Its description in RNAcentral is "partial tRNA-Phe". The record is from RNAcentral. Lineage: Eukaryota; Viridiplantae; Streptophyta; Jungermanniopsida; Jungermanniales; Cephaloziaceae. RNAcentral also lists the same sequence under 4 other names.
GGUUGCCGGGAUAGCUCAGUCGGUAGAGCAGAGGA